UACGUAGGGUGCAAGCGUUAAUCGGAAUUACUGGGCGUAAAGCGUGCGCAGGCGGCGAUGUAAGACAGAUGUGAAAUCCCCGGGCUCAACCUGGGAACUGCAUUUGUGACUGCAUCGCUGGAGUACGGCAGAGGGGGAUGGAAUUCCGCGUGUAGCAGUGAAAUGCGUAGAUAUGCGGAGGAACACCGAUGGCGAAGGCAAUCCCCUGGGCCUGUACUGACGCUCAUGCACGAAAGCGUGGGGAGCAAACAGG
This 253-nucleotide ribosomal RNA is filed under the name uncultured bacterium. RNAcentral's name for it is "partial 16S ribosomal RNA". It matches the Rfam family "Bacterial small subunit ribosomal RNA", at positions 524 to 776 of the family's 1533-position model. The record is from RNAcentral.